GUGAGGAAUAUUGCGCAAUGGGGGAAACCCUGACGCAGCGACGCCGCGUGGGUGACGAAGGCCUUCGGGUCGUAAAACCCUUUUGGCAGGGACGAGUGAGGACGGUACCUGCAGAAUAAGUCUCGGCUAACUACGUGCCAGCAGCCGCGGUAAAACGUAGGAGGCGAGCGUUAUCCGGAUUUACUGGGCGUAAGGCGCGCGUAGGCGGUUUGUCAAGUCGGAUGUGAAAGCCCCUGGCUCAACUGGGGGAGGCCAUUCGAUACUGACCGGCUUGAGGGUGAGAGAGGGGAGUGGAAUUCCCGGUGUAGCGGUGGAAUGCGUAGAGAUCGGGAGGAACACCAGUGGCGAAAGCGGCUCCCUGGCUCACUCCUGACGCUGAGUGCGCGACAGCGUGGGGAGCAAACGGGAUUAGAAACCCCAGUAGUCC
Molecule: ribosomal RNA, 427 nt
Filed under: uncultured bacterium
Lineage: Bacteria
Description: bacterial SSU rRNA
Rfam family: Bacterial small subunit ribosomal RNA
Source: RNAcentral